AUAUUGCUGCGAGCAGACGUCGUCGUGCGCACGUGCCGCAGGUAAACAGACGCCCUAGAUUUCCCCUCCAGACGUCGAGCUUUUAAAAGCUCACGCUCCCUUGGCGCUUUCAAUACUAAUAAUACAUUUCGAUUGUAAUUUUUUAUUUUCAACUGCCGACCAUCACGAACUGAGGCCUUCAAAGGACUUAUCUCCUGUGGUGAAUAUCAGUUCCAGACUAUAUUGGCAAUUUGCAUGUUGCUCUGCGCUAGUCUAAGACUAGAUGGACCAUCAGGAGACGUAAGCAGAUAUGUACAGCCCAAAUUGGCGCGCACUGUAUUCCUAACGAACUGGUACCCGG
This is a long non-coding RNA of Esox lucius (northern pike), 340 nucleotides long. RefSeq lists it as uncharacterized. The transcript has 3 exons. NCBI's taxonomy places the organism in Eukaryota, Metazoa, Chordata, Actinopteri, Esociformes, Esocidae. The record is from RefSeq and is a predicted model, not a curated record.